GAUGAACGCUGGCGGCGUGCCUAAUACAUGCAAGUCGAGCGAACAGACGAGGAGCUUGCUCCUCUGACGUUAGCGGCGGACGGGUGAGUAACACGUGGAUAACCUACCUAUAAGACUGGGAUAACUUCGGGAAACCGGAGCUAAUACGGGUAAAUAUAUGGAACCGCAGGGUUCAAUAGUGAAAAAGGGUUUGCCUUUAACUUAUAGAGGGUUCCGCGCCGCAUUAGCUAGUUGGUAAGGUAACGGCUUACCAAGGCAACGAUGCGUAGCCGACCUGAGAGGGUGAUCGGCCACACUGGAACUGAGACACGGUCCAGACUCCUACGGGAGGCAGCAGUAGGGAAUCUUCCGCAAUGGGCGAAAGCCUGACGGAGCAACGCCGCGUGAGUGAUGAAGGUCUUCGGAUCGUAAAACUCUGUUAUUAGGGAAGAACAAAUGUGUAAGUAACUAUGCACGUCUUGACGGUACCUAAUCAGAAAGCCACGGCUAACUACGUG
RNAcentral lists this ribosomal RNA (497 nucleotides) under uncultured bacterium. RNAcentral describes it as "partial 16S ribosomal RNA". It matches the Rfam family "Bacterial small subunit ribosomal RNA", at positions 28 to 507 of the family's 1533-position model. The record is from RNAcentral.